AGGGCGUACGGUGGAUGCCUAGGCACUUGAAACUGAAGAAGGACGCAACAAACGGCGAAACGCGGCGGGGAGCUGUACGUAAGCAAAGAUCCGCCGGUAUCCGAAUGGGGGAACCCGGCAUGCGUAAUAGCAUGUCAUCCGCAGAUGAACAAAUAGUCUGCGAGAGAGGUACCCGGGGAACUGAAACAUCUAAGUACCCGGAGGAAAAGAAAACAACAGUGAUUCCCUGAAUAGCGGCGAGCGAAAGGGGAGGAGCCCAAACCAGACCGAGGUCUGGGGUUGAAGGACCGCGAUACGGCAAGAAUCAUGGUAGGAGAACGGCAUUGAAAGGCCGACCGGAGAGGGUGCAAGUCCCGUAUCCGAAACCGUGAGGAAGCCCAGCGGGAUCCUGAGUACGGCGAGACACGAGAAAUCUUGUCGGAAGCAGGCGGGACCAUCCGUCAAGGCUAAAUAUAAGCAAGUGACCGAUAGUGAACCAGUACCGUGAGGGAAAGGUGAAAAGAACCGCGGGAGCGGAGUGAAACAGAACCUGAAACCGUAUGCUUACAAGAAGUCAGAGCACGUUAAGGUGUGAUGGCGUGCCUUUUGUAGAAUGAACCGGCGAGUUAUGUUAUCGUGCGAGGUUAAGCAGGAGAUGCGGAGCCGAAGCGAAAGCGAGUCUUAAGAGGGCGGCAGUACGAUGACAUAGACCCGAAACCGUGUGAUCUAGCCAUGACCAGGUUGAAGUUCAGGUGAAACUGAAUGGAGGACCGAACCGACCCCCGUUGAAAAGUUGGCGGAUGAGUUGUGGCUAGGGGAGAAAUUCCAAUCGAACACGGAUAUAGCUGGUUCUCCCCGAAAUAGCUUUAGGGCUAGCGUCGAGGAUGAGUCUUGUGGAGGUAGAGCACUGAAUGUACGAUGGCCCCAUCCCGGGGUACUGAGUAUAAUCAAACUCCGAAUGCCAUGAGAUAUUCCCGGCAGUCAGACCGUGGGUGAUAAGGUCCAUGGUCAAAAGGGAAACAGCCCAGACCGCCAGUUAAGGUCCCAAAAUGUAUGCUAAGUGGAAAAGGAUGUGGGGAUGCACAGACAACUAGGAGGUUGGCUCAGAAGCAGCCAUCCUUCAAAGAGUGCGUAACAGCUCACUAGUCGAGUGACCCUGCGCCGAAAAUGUACCGGGGCUAAGCAUACUACCGAAGCUGCGGAUUUGUAGUAAUACAAGUGGUAGGGGAGCGUUCCAUGCACGUGGAAGCCAUACCGAAAGGAGUGGUGGAGAGCAUGGAAGUGAGAAUGCCGGUGUGAGUAGCGAGAUGCAGGUGAGAAUCCUGCACACCGAUAGCCCAAGGAUUCCAGGGGAAGGUUCGUCCGCCCUGGGUAAGUCGGGACCUAAGGCGAGGCCGAAAGGCGUAGUCGAUGGAAAACAGGCAGAUAUUCCUGUACCCGCGAUGGAAAUGAAGGAAUGACGGAGAAGGCUAGCAUGAGCCACUUAUUGGAUUGUGGUCGAAGCGAAUAGCAGGUGCAUAGUCAAAUGCGUGCACGGGAUGUAAAACGUGACAGGUAAGCGAAACCUUUGGGGAGUAGCGAAGCAUGCGAGGCCAGCUUCCAGGAAAAGUUUCUAGUGCUGAUUCCAUAGCGGCCCGUACCAAAACCGACACAGGUGGGCAAGGAGAGUAUCCUGAGGUGAGCGAGAGAACUGUUGCCAAGGAACUCGGCAAAAUGACUCCGUAAGUUAGCGAGAAGGAGUGCUUAUGAAAGUAAGCCGCAGUGAAGAGGCCCAAGCGACUGUUUAACUAAAACACAGCUCUCUGCGAAGUCGCAAGACGAAGUAUAGGGGGUGACGCCUGCCCGGUGCUGGAAGGUUAAGAGGAUUUGUCAGUUUCGACGAAGCAAUGAAUUGAAGCCCCAGUGAACGGCGGCCGUAACUAUAACGGUCCUAAGGUAGCGAAAUUCCUUGUCAGGUAAGUUCUGACCCGCACGAAAGGCGUAACGAUUUGGGCGCUGUCUCGGCAGCAGACUCGGUGAAAUCUUAGUACCUGUGAAAAUGCAGGUUACCCGCAACUAGACGGAAAGACCCCAUGGAGCUUUACUGCAGCCUGAUAUUGGAUUUUGAUCAGAGAUGUACAGGAUAGGUGGGAGACGAAGAAGGAUGCACGCCAGUGUAUCUGGAGUCGACGUUGGGAUACCACUCUUGUCUGAUUGGAGUUCUAACCUGCGUCCAUGAAGCUGGACGGGGGACCGUGUCAGGCAGGCAGUUUGACUGGGGCGGUCGCCUCCCAAAGAGUAACGGAGGCGCCCAAAGGUACGCUCAGAUUGGACGGAAAUCAAUCGGCGAGUGCAAAUGCAGAAGCGUGCUUGACUGUGAGACAAACAGGUCGAACAGGGACGAAAGUCGGGAUUAGUGAUCCGGCGGUGCCGAAUGGAAGGGCCGUCGCUCAACGGAUAAAAGCUACCCUGGGGAUAACAGGCUGAUCUCCCCCAAGAGUUCACAUCGACGGGGAGGUUUGGCACCUCGAUGUCGGCUCAUCGCAUCCUGGAGCUGAAGUCGGUUCC
This 2526-nucleotide ribosomal RNA is filed under the name metagenome. Its description in RNAcentral is "bacterial LSU rRNA". It matches the Rfam family "Bacterial large subunit ribosomal RNA", at positions 14 to 2566 of the family's 2925-position model. The record is from RNAcentral.